Molecule: transfer RNA, 72 nt
Filed under: Arenimonas oryziterrae DSM 21050 = YC6267
Lineage: Bacteria; Pseudomonadati; Pseudomonadota; Gammaproteobacteria; Lysobacterales; Lysobacteraceae
Rfam family: tRNA
About the family: Transfer RNA (tRNA) molecules are approximately 80 nucleotides in length. Their secondary structure includes four short double-helical elements and three loops (D, anti-codon, and T loops).
Source: Rfam by way of RNAcentral
GGGCGGUUAGCUCAGCGGUAGAGCAUUGCUUUCACACGGCAAGGGUCACAGGUUCAAGCCCUGUACCGCCCA